AAAAAUCAAUAAAAAUAUUCUGGGGGCUCCGGGGGGCUCUUUCUUGGUCCCAACCGGACCCCCAGACCCUGCUCUAUCAUUCCCGACAAUUGGAAAAAAUGUCCGGGGGGAUCCCCGCUGCCCAGGCGCCGGUAUUAGGGGGGUGGGUGGGGAGAGGUGGGGAGGGAGGCGGAGGGAGGAGGAGGGAGAGCGCCGCAGCCUCGGCGGCUGGAGUCAGAGCCGGGGAGGCGAUUUCAAAAAAUAAUUAAAAAUCGAGGAAAUAUCCUAGAAAAGCCCUUUUGGCGUGAAAACCCCAAAGAGGACCCAGGCUUCCCGAAACGGAGGUUUCGGGUGCCGGAAAGUGCUGUCUGGCAUCUUUCAUCUCAAACCUGUCAUAGAAGAAAAAAAACUAAAGGAAGGAACUACACUGGGCAUGAAAAGACAUGGAUUCUUAUCCUUUUUUUUUUUUAAUCACUAACCAACUUCUGAGACUUUGGAUAUGUUACUUCAAAAAAUAAUAAUUACUAUCUAGUGAGCACCUACUGUUUACCAGGCAUUGUGUUAGGCACUUUACAUACAAGCCCCUAUAUAUAAGUGUCUGCUUGUCUAAAAUAAGAGAGUGUGCUACAUGUCGUCAGUGUCCCACCCAGUUCCAGGAGUGGGUGACCGUAAGGAGCUAUCUUUCUUAGAACAUUCUCACAGUUCCUGAGGCUUCUUUAUUCUCCUCUUUCCUGUUUCCUAGCUGGCAGUGGUAAGGUUGCUGUAGAACAAAGCUCUUUAUCGACUCCACUGUAGUGAGUCCUGGGCUGUGUCUUCCUACUCUUUACUCUCCCAAAGGGCUUCCCACUUUUCCGUAGGAAUUGGCUUGACUCUUACUAGCCCCUGUUAGGGUUUCCAUGAUUGUAUGACUUCCUCUCUCUUUAGACUCUCCCUGUGGAUCUUUGAUUCACUCUGAUGCCUUCUUUUCCUACCUGUGGGCUCAGAGAAGUCAAAUAAUUUGGAAAAGGUCACCCAGAUUAUAUAUAAGUAGCAGAACCGGCAACUGUCUGACUCCAUUGCCUUUGUUGUUUCUGCUAUAAUAUGAUUUCUGUCUCUGAAAUUUCACUUGGGUCUAUUUUUCCCACCCUAACUUAAGAUCUAGCUGAAGCCUGCCUUUUCCAUCAUCACCUUAGCCUGGCCACGUUUUCUUCCCUCACAAUUUCCCCACUAGAUAUUGUCUGCACUACACAUCAGGCCCCACUCGGGGACUUAGAUCUUGGGAGACCCUAUAGUUUUAGUGGUUAUAAAUGUGGGGUCUGGAGUCAGAGGGCCAAAGUAUGAAUUCUGGCUCUACUACAAGGCUAUGCAACCUUGGGAAAAUUCCUUAACCUCUCUGGGCCUCCAUUUCCUCAACUACAAACUAGAGAUACUGGUACCACUUACCUCCUAGGGUUGCUGUGCAGAAGUAGCACAAUGUCUGAUACACGAAAGAAGUACUCAGUGAACUGAUUCUAUUACCAGAUCUUGGGCUGAGUUCUGACUGGUCCAAGCUGAGCAACAGUCUUGCCAGAAUGAUUGACAGUAAUCUCUUGGAGUCUUUCUCCACCAGUACAUAUAGAUCUAUUUCAUUCAUACAGCCCAGAGAGGGAUGCCAGGGUACUGAGAAUGUAUUCUCUGAGCUGAACUGGGGAGGGGUGCCAGGGACAGCCACGUCCUGCAACUCUGGAGAUGGAGGGUGGUGGAGAGACAGCAGGCAGCCGCAGGCCUGGGGCCCUGCCAGGGGAGGCCUCAAAGCCCACUCUGGGGUUGGCACCCCCAUGCUGGGCAGUGCACCAAGGAGAAUAUAAAAUAAAACUGACUCAUACAAGGAGUGAUGAUGAAAAUGCAACUUCCAGAAGAUUCCAAGGCAGCAGCGUGGACUAGAUUUGAUCUCUACCUCCUAGGUCCAUAUCUACAAUCUUGGACAAUAAGAGCUAGUGCCCAAUGGUGACCUCAAGUCAGAAGAAGCUCCUAACCAAGAUCACCAAGAAAGUUGCAUCAUUUUUCUGUCCUUGCUAAGAUAUGAAAGUAGACUUAGUUUUUGAGAGAUUUUUUUGUAAGGUUUGAAACAUAAAGUAUUUUUUCAAGGUGACCUUCAGCUCAUUACAAUGGCAUUUGGAAGAACAUCUCCAAACUCUGUUUUGGUCAAUUGGCCUGUAAGAGUUACAAAUAAAUUGGAAGCUGCAGAAAAAGUGGGGAAGAAGGUAUGCACUUCACCAAAGGAUUGGUUGCUUAUCUAGACAUUCUCUCUCGGUGAUUCUUAAAAUUGAGAGCAUUUCUGGUGCAUUUUAAAUGGUUUCAUUCAACUGAAAGUGAGACUUAUAUAUUCCAUUUAGAAAAUCUGGCAAAAUGUACUUGAUUUUGAAAACCUUAUAAAGCAUACCAUGUUAAAGCUGAAAGGGGCAUUGCUGCUCGUUUUAAAGCUUCAAGAAAUUAAGUGACUUGUCACAUCACAAGGCUUUGUCCAUUGUGAGCUAACUCCCAGUUUUCUCCCACUACUGUGCAUUUUCCUUAUAUCCAAAAUAUCUGAUCAUCCCUAGGGAGGACUCUCUAUUUGGUCCUCAGCUGCUGUCAUAGAUGCUGUCAUUGAUCUCCCUUUUGGAUUUUUGCCCCUUUUACAGUGGAAAAAUUUCAAACAUAAAGAUAAAGACUACAGUUUAAAAAACUCCCAUGUGCCCCUCAUUCUACAAGUAUAAAGAAUAUAAUAUAAAAACCUCCCAUGUGUCCUAACUCUACAAUUAUUAACAUAUGACCAAUUUUCUUUUAUCUACACCUGUCUCCAGUUCCCCCUCCUACACAGAUUUUAAAGUAAAUCCAAUAUUCCUGUAAUUUCUUCUGUAAAUACUCCAUGCGUAACGUGUAAGAACUCUCUCAUAUAUACAUGUAUAUCUACAAUACAAUGCCCACAACUAACAAAAAUUAACAAUAUUUCCUUAAUACCAUCAAAUUUCCUCGGUUGUCUGUCUGUCUCUCUUUCCUGCUGCUGUUUUUAAAAUCAGGAUCCAAAAAAAAGCCAGAGAUCAGAUCUCAGAUAUCAGGUAGAAUAAUCAGCUAAUCAUUCAAAGUUCUUUCAUUAGAGUGUUUACUAAACAAGGGGAAAUAAAUUGCAUAAUAGGAAUACUUUAUAAUCAUCAUAGAUCAUAUUUAUAUACAUCCUUACACUUCAUAAGCUUCUGUGACCUUUGACAUUCACAUCAGAUAUAGAGUAGAAAGGUAUUAUUUCCAGAGGAAACUGAGACCUGGAGGUUUUAAGGAAUCCAAUUAGUGGUUAAGCUGAGACCCCUCCCCCAUCCCCCCAACACCACCCCCCACCGCCACCACUAAGUUUCCUGGCUGGGCUUUUCUGAUUGCAACAAAAUAUUAUAACCUCAUCUCAUUACAAUGGCAGCUUCUUUGUAGGUUCCCAUUCUCUUCUAAACAUUAGAAGAAGCUCACUUAACCUUCUCAACAACCCUGUGAAGUAGAUGCCUUUGUUCUCACUCCAGCUGAUGAGAAUCCCCGGCACAGAGGGGUUAGAACGUUUACUCAAGGUCAUGCAGUGGUAGAGUUCACACCCAGGUCUUUCUGAUUCCGGAGCUCAAGCUUGUAACUUUUGUAACAUACGAGCAUCGCAUUGCAGGGCAAAUUAAUUUCCAGUGUUGAAUUUACCUCCAUUGACUUAUCUUUCUUCCCUUUUAGAAUUUGGCUAUGAUUAUGAAAUAAAAUUACAUUUAAAACAAUUUCUACUCCAAAGACAUUUCACAAACGUGGACGUGAUUUUCCCUUUAUCCGAAUUCGUGAAGUUCUACACGACUCCCAACUAAAUAAUUAAAAGCUGAAAAUAAA
Molecule: long non-coding RNA, 3822 nt
Organism: Manis pentadactyla (Chinese pangolin)
Lineage: Eukaryota; Metazoa; Chordata; Mammalia; Pholidota; Manidae
Exons: 5
Source: RefSeq, a predicted model, not a curated record